AUUGAACGCUGGCGGAAUGCUUUACACAUGCAAGUCGAGCGGCAGCGCGGGGGCAACCCUGGCGGCGAGCGGCGAACGGGUGAGUAACAUAUCGGAACGUACCCCGUCGUGGGGGAUAACACAGCGAAAGCUGUGCUAAUACCGCAUACGACCUGAGGGUGAAAGCGGGGGACCGCAAGGCCUCGCGCGAUGGGAGCGGCCGAUAUCGGAUUAGCUCGUUGGAGAGGUAAAGGCUCACCAAGGCGACGAUCCGUAGAUGGUCUGAGAGGACGACCAGCCAAACUGGAACUGGGACACGGUCCAGACUCCUACGGGAGGCAGCAGUGGGGAAUUUUGGACAAUGGGGGCAACCCUGAUCCAGCCAUUCCGCGGGAGUGAAGAAGGCCUUCGGGUUGUAAAGCUCUUUCGGCAGGAACGGAACGGCGCGCUCUGACAUAGCGUGUCAAUGACGGUACCUGAAGAAGAAGCACCGGCUAACUACGUGCCAGCCGCCGCCGUAA
Molecule: ribosomal RNA, 500 nt
Filed under: uncultured bacterium
Lineage: Bacteria
Description: partial 16S ribosomal RNA
Rfam family: Bacterial small subunit ribosomal RNA
Source: RNAcentral